This 707-nucleotide long non-coding RNA is filed under the name Homo sapiens (human). Its description in RNAcentral is "HSALNT0147605". Lineage: Eukaryota; Metazoa; Chordata; Mammalia; Primates; Hominidae. The record is from RNAcentral.
CAACACCCGAAGCCUCUUGUCACUGUGGGAGACCUUGAAGCUUAAAUGAAUCAUCUCCUUAAUCUGCCGUUCAAGCAGCUGAGUUCGGCCGGGGACUUCUGAAGGAGAGGGAACUGCCAGCUGGGGAGCGGAUACCUGAGUUCUGAGUGUAGAACACCAAGAGAUAGAGAAGCCUUGAGCUCACACAAGCAGAGUUCUGUGCAGGGAGAUGUCUCAGAAAAAGUGUUUCUUUAGCCCUCUCCCUGACUUGCAUCCUCAUGAGACUCUUAAACCCCCUCCUGACCUUCAGAGAUGUUUAUCAUCAGAGAUGGGUUAUGGAAGUGAUCCUAUAGAACCUGAGAGAUUGCUUAACUCAAACUCUGCUUCUACAUUAGAGUGUCUUCUGAAAAAUGACCUCAACAAAAUUUGCUAUCUACCUAUUUACUAACAUAAAUGAGGAAACCAAAAAGGUCAACGGUGAGGCAGGAAGGUUUCAGUUCAGUGGAGAAAAGAAAAUCUUGAUGAAAUGUCAUUAACUUCCAUAUUUGGAAUAAGCUAUAAAAGCUUGUCGAAGGUCUAAUUUAUGUGCAAGACUGAAAGCUGUUUAAACGGAUAAUAUGCCUCCUUCAUGAGAAAUACCACCCCUUUAUGCUCCAUUAAGUUCAGACGUUGACUCUAUAAGCUACGUACCAAUUAUUUCUUUCCAGAAACAGCAACGUAGUUUUUUU